RNAcentral lists this ribosomal RNA (467 nucleotides) under uncultured bacterium. RNAcentral's name for it is "partial 16S ribosomal RNA". It matches the Rfam family "Bacterial small subunit ribosomal RNA", at positions 28 to 507 of the family's 1533-position model. The record is from RNAcentral.
GACGAACGCUGGCGGCGUGCUUAACACAUGCAAGUCGAACGGAAAGGCCCUGCUUUUGUGGGGUGCUCGAGUGCGAACGGGGGGGGAACACCUGGGUUACCCCCCCCUUACCUUGGGGUUACAUCAGGGAACCGGGGGUUAUAACGGCUAAGAGUCUCUUGCGCCUGGUGGGGGGUUGGAAAAUUCGGCGGUUGGGGAUGGACUUGGGGCUUAUCAGGUUGUUGGUGGGGUAGGUGCGUACCAAGGCUUUUCCGGGUAGCCCGCCUGAGAGGGGGACCGGCCACAUUGGGACUGAGAUACGGCCCAGACGCCUACGGGAGGCAGCAGUGGGGAAUAUUGCACAAUGGGCGGAAGCCUGAUGCAGCAACGCCGCGUGCGGGAUGACGGCCUUCGGGUUGUAAACCGCUUUCGCCUGUGACGAAGCGUGAGUGACGGUAAUGGGUAAAGAAGCACCGGCUAACUACGUG